Molecule: ribosomal RNA, 46 nt
Filed under: Trichoderma sp. TMGM 27
Lineage: Eukaryota; Fungi; Ascomycota; Sordariomycetes; Hypocreales; Hypocreaceae
Description: partial 18S ribosomal RNA
Source: RNAcentral
CAUCAAAAUCUCAGUUGGUGACCAGCGGAGGGUCAUUACCGAGUUU